This 566-nucleotide ribosomal RNA is filed under the name Newhousia imbricata. RNAcentral describes it as "SSU rRNA". It matches the Rfam family "Eukaryotic small subunit ribosomal RNA", at positions 554 to 1101 of the family's 1831-position model. The record is from RNAcentral. Lineage: Eukaryota; Phaeophyceae; Dictyotales; Dictyotaceae.
GGCAAGUCUGGUGCCAGCAGCCGCGGUAAUUCCAGCUCCAAUAGCGUAUAUUAAAGUUGCUGCAGUUAAAAAGCUCGUAGUUGGAUUUGUGGAGCGGCCAUCCGGCGCGGCGCCUUCUCUCUGUAGUCGGUGCCGCUAGUCCCGGCUUCGCGGCCGCUCCUUCUUCGGGAGGCGAGUGGCUGGCAUUAGGUUGUCGGCCGCUUCGCGCCCGUCUUUUACUGUGAAAAAAUUAGAGUGUUCAAAGCAGGCUUAGGCCGUUGCAUACAUUAGCAUGGAAUAAUGAGACAAGGCCGCGGUGGUCUUUUCCGUUGGUUUGCCACACGCCGCAAUGAUUAAAAGGAACGGUUGGGGGUAUUCGUAUUCAACUGUCAGAGGUGAAAUUCUUGGAUUUGUGGAAGACGAACUACUGCGAAAGCAUUUACCAAGGAUGUUUUCAUUAAUCAAGAACGAAAGUUAGGGGAUCGAAGAUGAUUAGAUACCAUCGUAGUCUUAACCAUAAACUUUGCCGACUAGAGAUUGGCGGAAGCUUCUGAUGACGNCUCCGUCAGCAUCUUACGAGAAAUCAA